AGUGAACGCUGGCGGUAGGCCUAACACAUGCAAGUCGAACGGCAGCACAGGAGAGCUUGCUCUCUGGGUGGCGAGUGGCGGACGGGUGAGGAAUACAUCGGAAUCUACUUUUUCGUGGGGGAUAACGUAGGGAAACUUACGCUAAUCCCGCAUACGACCUACGGGUGAAAGCAGGGGACCUGCGGGCCUUGCGCGAUUGAAUGAGCCGAUUCCGGAUUAGCUAGUUGGCGGGGUAAGGGCCCACCAAGGCGACGAUCCGUAGCUGGUCUGAGAGGAUGAUCAGCCACGCUGGAACUGAGACACGGUCCAGACUCCUACGGGAGGCAGCAGUGGGGAAUAGUGGACAAUGGGCGCAAGCCUGAUCCAGCCAUACCGCGUGGGUGAAGAAGGCCUUCGGGUUGGAAAGCCCUUUUGUUGGGAAAGAAAUCCAGCUGGCUAAUACCCGGUUGGGAUGACGGUACCCAAAGAAUAAGCACCGGCUAACUUCGUGCCAGCAGCCGCCGCAG
RNAcentral lists this ribosomal RNA (506 nucleotides) under uncultured bacterium. RNAcentral's name for it is "partial 16S ribosomal RNA". It matches the Rfam family "Bacterial small subunit ribosomal RNA", at positions 29 to 523 of the family's 1533-position model. The record is from RNAcentral.